ACGAACGCUGGCGGCGUGCUUAACACAUGCAAGUCGCACGGAAAGGCUCCAGCUUGCUGGAGUACUCGAGUGGCGAACGGGUGAGUAACACGUGGGUAAUCUGCCCUGCACUCUGGGAUAAGCCUGGGAAACUGGGUCUAAUACUGGAUAUGACCUUUCUCCUUAUGGGGUUUGGUGGAAAGUUUUUCGGUGUAGGAUGAGCCCGCGGCCUAUCAGCUUGUUGGUGGGGUGAUGGCCUACCAAGGCGACGACGGGUAGCCGGCCUGAGAGGGUGAUCGGCCACAUUGGGACUGAGAUACGGCCCAGACUCCUACGGGAGGCAGCAGUGGGGAAUAUUGCACAAUGGGCGGAAGCCUGAUGCAGCGACGCCGCGUGAGGGAUGACGGCCUUCGGGUUGUAAACCUCUUUCAACAGGGACGAAGCGUAAGUGACGGUACCUGCAGAAGAAGCACCGGCUAACUAUGUG
Molecule: ribosomal RNA, 466 nt
Filed under: uncultured bacterium
Lineage: Bacteria
Description: partial 16S ribosomal RNA
Rfam family: Bacterial small subunit ribosomal RNA
Source: RNAcentral